This is a long non-coding RNA of Parus major (Great Tit), 246 nucleotides long. RefSeq lists it as uncharacterized. The transcript is spliced from 3 exons. NCBI's taxonomy places the organism in Eukaryota, Metazoa, Chordata, Aves, Passeriformes, Paridae. The record is from RefSeq and is a predicted model, not a curated record.
UCUGUGGUGGACAUUUUCAGUGAGUGUAUUCUUUUUGAAGUUAUCGAGCAUUCUAGCUGUCAGAUGUCUCUCCUGAAAUGCCUAGUUAGUGUCCCAGUGCUGUAGAGAAAGCUACCCUGGAUUUUGCCUGCUGACCGAAUUUAUUGCCUUGGCUUGAUUUUACAAACCUGAGUUGUUUGUCUGCAGCUUCCUUCACAUGAUAUUCCAGAGUGUCUAGCAAAAGUGUGUGUGCCACUGAAAGUUUCA